RNAcentral lists this ribosomal RNA (254 nucleotides) under uncultured bacterium. Its description in RNAcentral is "partial 16S ribosomal RNA". It matches the Rfam family "Bacterial small subunit ribosomal RNA", at positions 524 to 776 of the family's 1533-position model. The record is from RNAcentral.
CACGUAGGGAGCAAGCGUUGUCCGGAUUUAUUGGGCGUAAAGAGCUCGUAGGUGGUUCGGUAAGUCGGGUGUGAAAACUCUGGGCUCAACUCAGAGACGCCACCCGAUACUGCUGUGACUUGAGUCUGGUAGGGGAGUGUGGAAUUCCCAGUGUAGCGGUGAAAUGCGCAGAUAUUGGGAAGAACACCAGUGGCGAAGGCGGCACUCUGGGCCAGUACUGACACUGAGGAGCGAAAGCGUGGGUAGCGAACAGG